GACGAACGCUGGCGGCGUGCUUAACACAUGCAAGUCGAACGGAAAGGCCCUGCUUUUGUGGGGUGCUCGAGUGGCGAACGGGUGAGUAAAACGCGUGUAACCUGCCCUUGACUUUGGGAUAACUUUAGGGAACUGGGGCUCAUAUCGGAUAGGAGCUCCUGCUGCAUGGGGGGGGUUGGAAAGUUUCGGUGGUUGGGUAUGGACUAGAGGCUUAUGCGCUUGUUGGGGGGGUAGUGGAAUACCAAGGCUUUGACGGGUAGCCGGCCUGAGAGGGCGACCGGCCACAAUGCGACUGAGAUACGGCCCAGACUCCUACGUGAGGCAGCAGGGGGGAAUAUUGCGCAAUGGGCGGAAGCCUGAUGCAGCAACGCCGCGAGCGUGAUGACGGCCUUCGGGUUGUAAACCGCUUUCGCCUGUGCCGAAGCGUGAUUGACGGUAACUGGUAAAGAAGCACCGGCUAACUACGUG
RNAcentral lists this ribosomal RNA (468 nucleotides) under uncultured bacterium. RNAcentral describes it as "partial 16S ribosomal RNA". It matches the Rfam family "Bacterial small subunit ribosomal RNA", at positions 28 to 507 of the family's 1533-position model. The record is from RNAcentral.